AUUUCAUUAGGGUUUCUAAGUGCCUAUAUAUACCACCCUUACACCCUAGCCGCAUACAUCUUCCCCUCUCCACAAAAUCAGAAAAUCAUCUCUCCUUCUCCCCACCUUUUGCCGCAGCCACCAUCACCCAAAAUCCAUCCAUUCCAGCCGCCACUCAUCCAUUCCAGCAACCUACCCCACUUUGCCGCACCACCAUACACCUCCCUUACCCUUUUCCGAACCACCAUAUCAUCCCAAAUCCAUCCCUAAAACGAAAUCACAUCCAAACAGCCCCUAAACCCUCACUGCCGCAGCAAGGAGAAGAAGAAGAAAGAGGAGCUUUCUGUGCAGAUUUCAAAGUGGACUUCUUUGGCAUUUUAGGUGUAAUCUUUCUUAUGUCUUCGAUGUUUCAAUUCAAAAAACUUUGUGUUGUGAGUAUGAGGAACUAAACCCCCUUAGUUGGGGGGUGAUUCGAAACCAUGUACAUGCUUGCAAUUUGAUUCGAUUACAUUCAGUUGUUAUUUCAUGAGUUAUGGAUUCAAUUCGUUCAUCUAUUUGAUUGAUAACUUAUUUGUGUAUGUUGAUUGAGAGUGCACGCUUAGUUUUCAUGCAUGAAUAUGAUGCUAGAUUAUGAGGGAGUUUCACCUAAUAGUUACAACCUUAUAAUCACAAGUAGUGAAGAUCGCUUGAAAUCGAUCGCGUUGAAUGAAUUCUUAGCAUAAGUUUUCAUGCAAUUCAUAGUAACAAAUGCUUCGUCAAUGCUUAUGUUUUUCAUAGAACGUAAUGAUUCUUACUUGUAUCUCUAUUAUGCAAUUCAUGUAGGGAACUUGUAGGGAAUGUUUUGGGUUGUCGUAUGCAAUCAUCCAACUUAAUAACUUGUGGAAAAACUGAGGGUUAAUUAGUGCAAUUCACGGUUAACUUGGGGCGUUGAGUAUUCAUAGUUUAUCGGAAGAACAACUGAAAAAUCGUUCUGUUUGCAAGUGUGACAUGUGUGGAGAAGAACCUCCUAACUAGCCUUUUAACCAUCUAUUUCACCAAAAUCGUUUUUACAAUCUGUGUUAAUUAAAGUUUCUGUUUUGUUUUCAAUUUUCGUCCAAAACAAUUCCCCCUUUAUUUUGAAGUCUUAGAUUAGUUAGAAAGUGUUUUGAUUUGUGUUUCUAGGUGUUUUGAUUCAAGUUUUCAACCAAUUUCGUCCAGAUUAGUGUAAGUGCUCAAAACUGCCCAGAAAGUGGUUUUUAGGCAGUUUUGAGUCUUCUAGUUGCUGUUUUGGUUUUUAGGUUUGUUUAAGUGUUUUAACUUUUAGUUUUGCAUUCUUUGAGUCUAGUUUAGUGUUUUUAACUUUGUUUUUUAGUGUUUAAGUCAGUUUCCAAGCGUUUAGCAAUCCCUCCUAAUCCCCGGUCUAGAACGAUCCCUACUUACAUCUUUGCUACAAUUUGACAAAAAGAGGGUUUAAUUUGUGUGCUUAUCUAUUUCGCAUCAAAUUUUUGGCGCCGUUGCCGGGGAUUAGCAAAUUUGCUAAUCCCUUGGAUUGUUUUUGUUUUUUUUAUUAAACUUUGUUUCUGACUUUGUUUAAGUUUCUGACCUAAUUUUGUUUCUUGUUUCUUAGGUACUAAUGUAUGACUAGAAGCUCUCAACCGAUUCGUGCAAACAUCUUGGAUUUUGACGACGAUUUUGAGAGGAAGUUAAGAAGAGCUAGAAACCAGCAAGAACACCAUCCACCCAAUUCCGAAUCUGACCUUGAAGAAAACGUCCAAGAAGAGGAGGAAGAAGCCACGGCAGGGAUAUUUGAAGAAGUCCAAGGCAUGGCCAUGGACAAUCGUACACUCAAGGAGCUUUCCGCCUCGGGUUUGGAUAAUGCCGCACCCUUGUGCAUCCAAUACCCCGUGGCUGCCCAAGGUAAGACGGAUGAGUUUGAAUUAAAGUCAAGUUUGCUUCAUCAUAUUCCUAAAUACCAUGGCUUGUCCAUGGAAGAUCCUAACAAACAUUUGAAAGAAUUUGAAGUAGUUUGCUCUAGUAUGACUCCCGUCAAUGUUGACGGAAAUAUUUUGAAGAUGAAGGCUUUUCCAUUCUCUUUGAUGGAUAAAGCCAAGGAUUGGUUAUAUGAGUUAGCUCCCGGAACUGUCACAUCGUGGGAAAGUAUGAAGAGAGCGUUCUUGGAGAAGUUCUUUCCAACUUCUCGCAUCAUCCUCCUCCGCAAAAAGAUAAGCGGAAUUCAGCAAGAAGAAGGUGAGUCUUUUCCUACAUAUUAUGAACGAUUUAAAUCACUUGUUGCUUCUUGUCCACAGCAUCAGAUGAAGGAGGAAUUGCUCUUGCAAUAUUUCUACGAGGGCCUCCUACCUCUAGAACGUCAAAUGCUUGAUGCUUCAGCGGGCGGAGCAUUGGUGGAUAAAACACCCAUGGCUGCCAAGGUCUUGAUUGCUAAUAGAGCGUUGAACGCUCAACAGUACGAGGGUGUAGGCCAAAGAGGACCCCCACGGCACCAAGUACAUGAGGUAAGUUCGACUUCCGAUCUUCAUUCACAAUUGGCUAAUCUUACUUCUCUUGUGUCUCAGAUGGCCGAGGGCAUGAAGAUGCAAGGAACAACUGUAUGUGGCGUAUGUUCCAUCCAAGGACAUGUCUCUGAAAAAUGUCCACAGUUGAUUGAAAAUGGUGGAUGGGAAAGCGCCCAUGCAAUUGGGUUUCAAGGUCAAAACCAACCAAGGAACGAUCCAUAUUCAAACACAUAUAAUCCCGGUUGGAGAGACCACCCAAAUUUCAAGUGGAGGGAUCCCCAGCAACCUCAGAACCAAGGAGGCUUUAGGCAACAACCCCCGGGGUUCUUUCCCAAAACCUACGGCCCACCCCAAAAUCAAGCCCAAUCCGGCCCAAAUGCCUCAGGUACGUGUCUUGACAAUGAUGCACUUCUUAAGAUACUAACUAAGUUGUCUAAUGGACAGGAAGAUCAAGCUAAGGCUAUGCAAAUCCAAGACAAAAGGGUGGAUCAACUUGAGAAAACAAAUUGGGCAGAUUGCCGAGUUUGUUGGGCAGUUUAGAGAACAAGGAAAGCUUCCUAGUUCAACCAUUGCGAAUCCGAAAGGAGGCUUUGAAACCGCAAAUGCAAUCAUGCUAAGGAGUGGAAAAGAAGUUGGGGCAGGUUCUACACCACCAAAAUCAGGUCCCAAAGAGGAUGAAAUGUUGAAAUCUGAAGAGGAGACACCAAGUCCACUCACGGCAAAGGUAGCACCACCUUUGCCGCAAGCACCCAUGGUCCCUAAGCCAUCCAAUCCUUCCACCCUAGGUAAGAUGAGUCCAAGUUUGGUUAAUGCUAACAUUAUUCCACCCAAUGUGCCAUUUCCUAGCAGAUUUUUGCAAUCCAAGAAUGAAGAGGAGGAAAAAGAUGUGCUAGAGACAUUUAGGAAGGUUCAAGUUAACAUACCUCUCUUGGAUGCAAUCAAGCAAAUCCCGAAGUAUGCCAAGUGUUUAAAGAAGCUUUGUACGACAAAGAAACGUACUCGGGAGAAAGAAGUGGUACAUGUAAGCGAGAAUGUCUCCGCCAUUUUGCAACGUAAACUACCCCCCAAAUGCAAAGAUCCGGGGAGCUUUACAAUUCCGUGUGUCAUUGGUAAUACCCGUUUCAAAUCUGCCAUGCUAGAUUUAGGAGCAUCUAUUAAUGUUAUGCCAUAUUCUGUUUAUGCAUCUAUGAAUCUAGGAGCACUUAAAAUGAUGGGGUAAUAAUACAAUUGGCCGAUAGAUCUAACGCCUAUCCAAAGGGAGUUUUGGAAGAUGUUCUUGUGCAGGUUAAUCAUUUGGUCUUCCCAGCGGAUUUCUAUGUCCUCGAAAUGGAUGAAUCGGACCAUGCCCCUUCGUUGCCCAUCCUCCUUGGAAGGCCAUUUAUGAAAACGGCUCAAACGAAGAUUGAUGUGGCCAAAGGAUUAGUAACUAUGGCAUUUGGUGGUGACAUGAUUAGUUUUAAAAUUUCUGAAUCCAUUGAGACUCCUAAUGUUGUUCAUUCUUGUUGUGCCAUUGAUAAACUUGAAAAGAUAGGCCCGGACCGUUCAGCACCAAGCACAAAGGAUGCGUCAAGAACCAUGCAAGACGAGGGAAUUGGAGUGGAGUACAAGGCCCAUACGGCCACUGCCCUCAAAGUGCUCACAGUGGCCGAAGGCACCAUGGGGAAGAACGUGUACCUUGCUGCCACUUCAUCACAUCACAUAGGUAAGCCACCUAAUCCAAUCCAAUUCCCAUUAAAGUUGAUAGGUGGUUCCCUUCUAUGGUGCAGGUACCCAAGCAAAUCCCCGAUGGUGGGCGCAUGUACAUGAACCUUAGGCAACACAACGCACCCAUCAACAAACAUCACUAUCCAUUACCGUUCAAAGAUGCAAUGUAUGAGAGUGCCGUGGGCUCCAAUGGGGCAUGAUUGUGCUUUUCGUCCGGCUGUACGACGUUAAAGAAAGCGCUACUUGGGAGGCAACCCAUGCAAUGCAACAAAGGAAGACCAAGGAAUUACUCCAAUUCCAGAUUUGCGUUCCUAAACUCUUCCCUUUGUUAUUUAUUUCGAAUCUGCCUAUUUAGUUGUUUUAGUUGCUGUUUGUGUGUUUCUUUUUGUUUAGUGUGAUUUUAUGCUUGAAACAUUGAGGACAAUGUUUGAUUUAAGUGUGGGGGGGUAACUAAGUGUUCUAGAUGCAAAUUCGUGGGAUUUUAUCACCCUAAAGUUGAAGACUUGUUCCUUGCUGUUUUUAAGUGUUUUUGAGCAGUUUUGGUGUGUUUUAGUGUGUGUUAAUGCAAAAAUCCGAAAAUUACAUAAAAAUUUUAAAAAUUUGUUUUAAAAACCCAAAAAGAGUUGUUUUUGUGUGUUUGUUUGUGUCUUAGGGUACCUUCCAACACAAUGAUGAGGAUUCGGUUUGUAAUUACAUGGCUGUUAAAGAGAGUGAUUAACAUGGAUGAAAGUUUGAUUUACUCUUUGUUAUGCUUAGUUGUGGUUAUAACUUAUGAAUUCACAUGCAAUCAUAAAAGAAAAAAUCAGUUUUUGUAACAUGCUUGAAGGAAGGAACUCAAACUAACGCUACAACCUUGUGAGACUUGAGCCUAAACGUUUAUGUGGAGAGUUAAAAUCUGUGCAUUCUUUGUUUUCUAAGUCGUUGCAUGAUCUCAUUAUUCCUUGCUUGGUUGCUACUUAGAUGGCGUUUCAUCAUUUAGUUCCAAAUGCUAGAACUCAUGCCCAUUUCAUUCAAAGCAUGUUAUUGAUUUGCAUAACACAUAUUCAAGAUGAAGUUGUGUAGUGACCACCACCUUAGCCAAAAAGCCGUGUGCCCUAUGUCAUUGUGAUUUGUAGGUUUUAACCCCAUUGAGCCUUGUUAGCCUUCGUUAUUUGUUAACCCAUGUUUUCCUCACCUAGCCUAGUUUAGGACCAUCUAAACCCUUGUUCUUAAAGCAUAGUAAAGCAUGGUUCAAAUUGAAUUCCUUUUGAUUUAUGUUGGCAGAAAACUAGUGUGGGGGAAGUAUUUCUUUUGUGAUUUUGUGUGCCAUAGGCACGUGUGGAAAGAAAAGAAAAAAAAAAGAAAAGAAAAAAAUUCGUGGAAAAAGAAAAAAUGAAGAAAAAAAUAUGAAAAGUGUGACAAAGAGUUGAAAAGUUGAGAAAAAGAGUUCCAAAGUAUUGUUUGUUGAAGUAAGGGUCCAAAACAAUGAAUUCGGCCCUAAGGAGUUGUUUAAAUCUUUCCCUUUUGUUUUAAAGUUAAUUUCUGCACUCUAAGUGAAUUCUAAGUCUCAAUUUCAUUGCUUUGCUUACUAUUGCUUGAAGAACAUUUGUUUUCCUUAUCCUUUCCUUGUUAACCAACACCCCAAGCCCCAUUACAACCCUUAACUUCUAUCUUGAGUGUUAUGUGUUUCAAUUUGUGGAGUUUGAAUUUGGUAUGAGCAUAUGGUGUCACUGGUUCUCGCAUCUAAGUAGUAGCAUUCCAUUCAUGAGAUCAUAUCUAAACAUGCUUCUUAACUCUAGAAAUUGCGUUCUUUGUGAUACAUAUAUGUGAGCAUUCGUUUUCAUUUCUACAUCAAUCUUCUCACAUAUGACUAGUGUAGGGUGUGGAGUUAGAAAAUCUGAGUGAAAAUAGAGUGUAUAUCUUGUAAGGAAUUGAGGGAAUUCUCUAAGGCAUGUUACUACAUUCAAAGCAUUGUUUUGAUUGAUUACUUGUGAAUUAGUAAGUGGUGGCUUUAAUUAAGUAUGUGCUUGUGUAAAGAUGACUCAAAUCUGUGGGGAUAACAAUCUUUAACAUGUCAUGUGCAUUGGAAAUCCCUGAGGCAAACGUUGGAAGGUUUAGGUUUUGUUUUGGUUAGUUGGUUUCGUUCUGUUUCCUUUCUUUUGUUUGUUUUGCUCGAGGACUAGCAAAAGCUAAGUGUGGGGGAAUUUGAUAGGAGCAUAUUUAUGCGCCUUAGUUAGCUAGUUCUUAUGCAUCUUUGUUAUGUUUUCUUCGUUAAAGUAGUCUUUUAAGCUACUUUCUUGUGUUUUCAGGUUUAGCGGACGUAUUACAUGAAAUGAUGCAAUUUGGAGCUUUGGAGCAAAAAGUGAGCUUGAAUUGAAAAGGACAUGCUUGGAACGCAAGGUUGGGAUGGAAUUGAAGAGUUGAUGAUUUGAGGUUUCCUACUUGAAGUAGGAAAGUUAAGCCUAAAAGUUUCCAUUUUGGGUCGAUCUUUCCUAAAUCGGAAUUGGCAACCAAAGUUUCUAAAAGUUGGAAGUUUCUAUUCUUGGAGGUUUCCAUUUUCGAGAGUUUCUAUUCUUGGCGUUGGGCUUUUAGAUGACCUAAACCCAAAUUUCCUUGUGGACCUUCAACCCAUGCCGAACCCUAGGGCCUAAUCAUCUAAAAUCUGCCAUGUUAAACCCUAGUCCAUUUCUCCUAAACCCAAGCCGCACCUAACCCUAGCCCAUUGUUAAAAAUCUGAUUUCAUUAGGGUUUCUAAGUGCCUAUAUAUACCACCCUUACACCCUAGCCGCAUACAUCUUCCCCUCUCCACAAAAUCAGAAAAUCAUCUCUCCUUCUCCCCACCUUUUGCCGCAGCCACCAUCACCCAAAAUCCAUCCAUUCCAGCCGCCACUCAUCCAUUCCAGCAACCUACCCCCACUUUGCCGCACCACCAUACACCUCCCUUACCCUUUUCCGAACCACCAUAUCAUCCCAAAUCCAUCCCUAAAACGAAAUCACAUCCAAACAGCCCCUAAACCCUCACUGCCGCAGCAAGGAGAAGAAGAAAGAGGAGCUUUCUGUGCAGAUUUCAAAGUGGACUUCUUUGGCAUUUUAGGUGUAAUCUUUCUUAUGUCUUU
This 7270-nucleotide long non-coding RNA is filed under the name Malus domestica (apple). RNAcentral describes it as "long non-coding RNA (MDOM_LNC020435)". The record is from RNAcentral. Lineage: Eukaryota; Viridiplantae; Streptophyta; Magnoliopsida; Rosales; Rosaceae.